AUAGCUGGUGUAAAGCUCCCAAAAUUUGAACAUUAUUCUGAUGGUGAGACUAAAAAUGAUCUCACAGGGUUAGCUAGGGGUGGACAACAGAUCCAGCUGUGUCGGGGCGCCUAUGUAAAGGCAAUUGAGGUUCUUGUUGAGCUUGCCUCACUCCAGACGUCAUUUUUGACUCUUGAUGAGGCAAUUAAAACCACAAACCGCAGGGUCAACGCUCUAGAGAAUGUUGUGAAGCCAAGGAUCGAGAAUACUAUAAGUUACAUUAAGGGAGAAUUGGACGAGCUGGAAAGGGAAGAUUUCUUUAGACUGAAAAAGAUUCAGGGUUAUAAGAGAAGGGAAAUUGAGAAACAACGUGCCAAUGCUAAGCUAUUUGCUGAGGAACAACUUGCUGAGAAGAUAUCUUUGCAAAAGGGUGUCUCCAUAAGUUCAGCUCACAAUUUAUUGUCUGCAGCUGCUGAG
This 456-nucleotide unclassified non-coding RNA is filed under the name Hevea brasiliensis (rubber tree). The record is from RNAcentral. Lineage: Eukaryota; Viridiplantae; Streptophyta; Magnoliopsida; Malpighiales; Euphorbiaceae.